Molecule: ribosomal RNA, 253 nt
Filed under: uncultured bacterium
Lineage: Bacteria
Description: partial 16S ribosomal RNA
Rfam family: Bacterial small subunit ribosomal RNA
Source: RNAcentral
CACGUAGGGCGCGAGCGUUGUCCGGAAUUAUUGGGCGUAAAGCGCGUGUAGGCGGCUUAGCAAGUCGGGCGUGAAAGCCCUCGGCUCAACCGAGGAAGUGCACCCGAAACUGCUGAGCUUGAGUGCCGGAGAGGAUGGCGGAAUUCCCCAAGUAGAGGUGAAAUUCGUAGAUAUGGGGAGGAACACCGGUGGCGAAGGCGGCCAUCUGGACGGUAACUGACGCUGAGACGCGAAAGCGUGGGGAGCAAACAGG